GUUGUAUGGUUAAGUGACUAAGCGUACACGGUGGAUGCCUGGGCAGUCAGAGGCGAUGAAGGACGUACUAACUUGCGAUAAGCGCAGAUAAGGCAGUAAGAGCCGUUUGAGUCUGCGAUUUCCGAAUGGGGAAACCCAACUGCAUAAGCAGUUACUGUUAACUGAAUCCAUAGGUUAACAGAGCAAACCGGGGGAACUGAAACAUCUAAGUACCCCGAGGAGAAGAAAUCAACCGAGAUUCCGGUAGUAGCGGCGAGCGAACCUGGAUUAGCCCUUAAGCACUCGUUGAAGUAGGUGAACAAGCUGGAAAGCUUGGCGAUACAGGGUGAUAGCCCCGUAACCGACGCUUCAUCGAGCGUGAAAUCGAGUAGGGCGGGACACGUGAUAUCCUGUCUGAAUAUGGGGGGACCAUCCUCCAAGGCUAAAUACUCCUGACUGACCGAUAGUGAACCAGUACCGUGAGGGAAAGGCGAAAAGAACCCCUGUGAGGGGAGUGAAAUAGAACCUGAAACCGUGUACGUACAAGCAGUAGGAGCACCUUCGUGGUGUGACUGCGUACCUUUUGUAUAAUGGGUCAGCGACUUAUAUUCAGUGGCAAGGUUAACCGUAUAGGGGAGCCGUAGCGAAAGCGAGUCUUAACUGGGCGUUCAGUCUCUGGAUAUAGACCCGAAACCGGGUGAUCUAGCCAUGGGCAGGUUGAAGGUUGAGUAACAUCAACUGGAGGACCGAACCGACUAAUGUUGAAAAAUUAGCGGAUGACUUGUGGCUAGGGGUGAAAGGCCAAUCAAACUCGGAGAUAGCUGGUUCUCCCCGAAAGCUAUUUAGGUAGCGCCUCGGACGAAUACUACUGGGGGUAGAGCACUGUUAAGGCUAGGGGGUCAUCCCGACUUACCAACCCUUUGCAAACUCCGAAUACCAGUAAGUACUAUCCGGGAGACACACGGCGGGUGCUAACGUCCGUCGUGGAGAGGGAAACAACCCAGACCGCCAGCUAAGGUCCCAAAGUAUUGCUAAGUGGGAAACGAUGUGGGAAGGCUCAGACAGCUAGGAUGUUGGCUUAGAAGCAGCCAUCAUUUAAAGAAAGCGUAAUAGCUCACUAGUCGAGUCGGCCUGCGCGGAAGAUGUAACGGGGCUAAGCAAUACACCGAAGCUGCGGCAAUAUCUUUUAGAUAUUGGGUAGGGGAGCGUUCUGUAAGCCGUUGAAGGUGGAUCGUAAGGUCUGCUGGAGGUAUCAGAAGUGCGAAUGCUGACAUGAGUAACGACAAGGGGGGUGAAAAACCUCCCCGCCGGAAGACCAAGGGUUCCUGUCCAACGUUAAUCGGGGCAGGGUGAGUCGACCCCUAAGGCGAGGCUGAAAAGCGUAGUCGAUGGGAAACGGGUUAAUAUUCCCGUACUUCUUACAAUUGCGAUGGGGGACGGAGAAGGCUAGGUGGGCCAGGCGACGGUUGUCCUGGUUCAAGUGCGUAGGCUUAAGAGUUAGGUAAAUCCGGCUCUUUCUAAGGCUGAGACACGACGUCGAGCUACUACGGUAGUGAAGUCAUUGAUGCCAUGCUUCCAGGAAAAGCCUCUAAGCUUCAGAUUGUAAGGAAUCGUACCCCAAACCGACACAGGUGGUCGGGUAGAGAAUACCAAGGCGCUUGAGAGAACUCGGGUGAAGGAACUAGGCAAAAUGGUACCGUAACUUCGGGAGAAGGUACGCUCUUGAUGGUGAAGUCCCUCGCGGAUGGAGCUGACGAGAGUCGCAGAUACCAGGUGGCUGCAACUGUUUAUUAAAAACACAGCACUGUGCAAAAUCGCAAGAUGACGUAUACGGUGUGACGCCUGCCCGGUGCCGGAAGGUUAAUUGAUGGGGUUAGCGCAAGCGAAGCUCUUGAUCGAAGCCCCGGUAAACGGCGGCCGUAACUAUAACGGUCCUAAGGUAGCGAAAUUCCUUGUCGGGUAAGUUCCGACCUGCACGAAUGGCGUAAUGAUGGCCACGCUGUCUCCACCCGAGACUCAGUGAAAUUGAAAUCGCUGUGAAGAUGCAGUGUACCCGCGGCUAGACGGAAAGACCCCGUGAACCUUUACUACAGCUUGGCACUGAACAUUGAACCUACAUGUGUAGGAUAGGUGGGAGGCUAUGAAGACGUGACGCUAGUUGCGUUGGAGCCGUCCUUGAAAUACCACCCUUGUAUGUUUGAUGUUCUAACUUAGACCCGUUAUCCGGGUUGAGGACAGUGCCUGGUGGGUAGUUUGACUGGGGCGGUCUCCUCCCAAAGAGUAACGGAGGAGCACGAAGGUGGGCUAAUCACGGUUGGACAUCGUGAGGUUAGUGCAAUGGCAUAAGCCCGCUUAACUGCGAGAAUGACGGUUCGAGCAGGUGCGAAAGCAGGUCAUAGUGAUCCGGUGGUUCUGUAUGGAAGGGCCAUCGCUCAACGGAUAAAAGGUACUCCGGGGAUAACAGGCUGAUACCGCCCAAGAGUUCAUAUCGACGGCGGUGUUUGGCACCUCGAUGUCGGCUCAUCACAUCCUGGGGCUGAAGUCGGUCCCAAGGGUAUGGCUGUUCGCCAUUUAAAGUGGUACGCGAGCUGGGUUUAGAACGUCGUGAGACAGUUCGGUCCCUAUCUGCCGUGGGCGUUGGAAGAUUGAAGGGGGCUGCUCCUAGUACGAGAGGACCGGAGUGGACGAACCUCUGGUGUUCGGGUUGUGUCGCCAGACGCAUUGCCCGGUAGCUAAGUUCGGAAUCGAUAACCGCUGAAAGCAUCUAAGCGGGAAGCGAGCCCUGAGAUGAGUCUUCCCUGACAGUUUAACUGUCCUAAAGGGUUGUUCGAGACUAGAACGUUGAUAGGCAGGGUGUGUAAGCGUUGUGAGGCGUUGAGCUAACCUGUACUAAUUGCCCGUGAGGCUUAACCAUACAACACCCAAGGGGUUUUGUA
RNAcentral lists this ribosomal RNA (2915 nucleotides) under Vibrio mimicus. RNAcentral's name for it is "bacterial LSU rRNA". It matches the Rfam family "Bacterial large subunit ribosomal RNA". The record is from RNAcentral. Lineage: Bacteria; Pseudomonadati; Pseudomonadota; Gammaproteobacteria; Vibrionales; Vibrionaceae.